AGCUUGCUCCCGGAUGUUAGCGGCGGACGGGUGAGUAACACGUGGGUAACCUGCCUGUAAGACUGGGAUAACUCCGGGAAACCGGAGCUAAUACCGGAUAGUUCCUUGAACCGCAUGGUUCAAGGAUGAAAGACGGUUUCGGCUGUCACUUACAGAUGGACCCGCGGCGCAUUAGCUAGUUGGUGGGGUAAUGGCUCACCAAGGCGACGAUGCGUAGCCGACCUGAGAGGGUGAUCGGCCACACUGGGACUGAGACACGGCCCAGACUCCUACGGGAGGCAGCAGUAGGGAAUCUUCCGCAAUGGACGAAAGUCUGACGGAGCAACGCCGCGUGAGUGAUGAAGGUUUUCGGAUCGUAAAGCUCUGUUGUUAGGGAAGAACAAGUGCGAGAGUAACUGCUCGCACCUUGACGGUACCUAACCAGAAAGCCACGGCUAACUACGUGCCAGCAGCCGCGGUAAUACGUAGGUGGCAAGCGUUGUCCGGAAUUAUUGGGCGUAAAGGGCUCGCAGGCGGUUUCUUUAAGUCUGAUGUGAAAGCCCCCGGCUCAACCGGGGAGGGUCAUUGGAAACUGGGAAACUUGAGUGCACAAGAGGAGAGUGGAAUUCCACGUGUAGCGG
RNAcentral lists this ribosomal RNA (620 nucleotides) under bacterium. Its description in RNAcentral is "bacterial SSU rRNA". It matches the Rfam family "Bacterial small subunit ribosomal RNA", at positions 77 to 681 of the family's 1533-position model. The record is from RNAcentral.